This 2699-nucleotide ribosomal RNA is filed under the name Drosophila melanogaster (fruit fly). RNAcentral describes it as "eukaryotic LSU rRNA". The stretch from base 577 to 2699 matches the Rfam family "Eukaryotic large subunit ribosomal RNA", at positions 1 to 1821 of the family's 3401-position model. Lineage: Eukaryota; Metazoa; Arthropoda; Insecta; Diptera; Drosophilidae. The record is from RNAcentral.
ACUCUAAGCGGUGGAUCACUCGCUCAUGGGUCGAUGAAGAACGCAGCAAACUGUGCGUCAUCGUGUGAACUGCAGACACAUGAACAUCGACAUUUUGAACGCAUAUCGCAGUCCAUGCUGUUAUGUACUUUAAUUAAUUUUAUAGUGCUGCUUGGACUACAUAUGGUUGAGGGUUGUAAGACUAUGCUAAUUAAGUUGCUUAUAAAUUUUUAUAAGCAUAUGGUAUAUUAUUGGAUAAAUAUAAUAAUUUUUUAUUCAUAAUAUUAAAAAAUAAAUGAAAAACAUUAUCUCACAUUUGAAUGUGAAAAACGAAGAGAAAUAUUUUCUUUUUCAAUCAAAUAAUACUGAGAAAAUGUCUAGCAUAAAAAAUUGAAAUAUUUUUCAUCUAGAAUUGUCUCUUAUUAAUGAAUUCGGAAAUAGAAAAAUCUUGGUUUAUGUUAUUAUUCUUCGUUGGUUCGUUAAAAAUGGAUAAAAUAAAAAACUUUGCAUACAAGAAUUAAUAAAAAUGUUAUAACGAAUUUAAUUAAAUGUUUUAUCAUUAUAUAUAAAGAAUUUAUGGCAAGAUAAAGUUAUAUACAACCUCAACUCAUAUGGGACUACCCCCUGAAUUUAAGCAUAUUAAUUAGGGGAGGAAAAGAAACUAACAAGGAUUUUCUUAGUAGCGGCGAGCGAAAAGAAAACAGUUCAGCACUAAGUCACUUUGUCUAUAUGGCAAAUGUGAGAUGCAGUGUAUGGAGGCGUCAAUAUUCUAGUAUGAGAAAUUAACGAUUUAAGUCCUUCUUAAAUGAGGCCAUUUACCCAUAGAGGGUGGCCAGGCCCGUAUAACGUUAAUGAUUACUAGAUGAUGUUUCCAAAGAGUCGUGUUGCUUGAUAGUGCAGCACUAAGUGGGUGGUAAACUCCAUCUAAAACUAAAUAUAACCAUGAGACCGAUAGUAAACAAGUACCGUGAGGGAAAGUUGAAAAGAACUCUGAAUAGAGAGUUAAACAGUACGUGAAACUGCUUAGAGGUUAAGCCCGAUGAACCUGAAUAUCCGUUAUGGAAAAUUCAUCAUUAAAAUUGUAAUAUUUAAAUAAUAUUAUGAGAAUAUGUGCAUUUUUCCAUAUAAGGACAUUGUAAUCUAUUAGCAUAUACCAAAUUUAUCAUAAAAUAUAACUUAUAGUUUAUUCCAAUUAAAUUGCUUGCAUUUUAACACAGAAUAAAUGUUAUUAAUUUGAUAAAGUGCUGAUAGAUUUAUAUGAUUACAGUGCGUUAAUUUUUCGGAAUUAUAUAAUGGCAUAAUUAUCAUUGAUUUUUGUGUUUAUUAUAUGCACUUGUAUGAUUAACAAUGCGAAAGAUUCAGGAUACCUUCGGGACCCGUCCUUGAAACACGGACCAAGGAGUCUAACAUAUGUGCAAGUUAUUGGGAUAUAAACCCUAAUAGCGUAAUUAACUUGACUAAUAAUGGAUUAGUUUUUUUAGCUAUUUAUAGCUAAUUAACACAAUCCCGGGGCGUUCUAUUAUAGUUAUGUAUAAUGUAUAUUUAUAUUAUUUUAUGCCUCUAACUGGAACGUACCUUGAGCAUAUAUGCUGUGACCCGAAAGAUGGUGAACUAUACUUGAUCAGGUUGAAAGUCAGGGGAAAACCCUGAUGGAAGACCGAACACAGUUCUGACGUGCAAAUCGAUUGUCAGAAUUGAGUAUAGGGGCGAAAGACCAAUCGAACCAUCUAGUAGCUGGUUCCUUCCGAAGUUUCCCUCAGGAUAGCUGGUGCAUUUUAAUAUUAUAUAAAAUAAUCUUAUCUGGUAAAGCGAAUGAUUAGAGGCCUUAGGGUCGAAACGAUCUUAACCUAUUCUCAAACUUUAAAUGGGUAAGAACCUUAACUUUCUUGAUAUGAAGUUCAAGGUUAUGAUAUAAUGUGCCCAGUGGGCCACUUUUGGUAAGCAGAACUGGCGCUGUGGGAUGAACCAAACGUAAUGUUACGGUGCCCAAAUUAACAACUCAUGCAGAUACCAUGAAAGGCGUUGGUUGCUUAAAACAGCAGGACGGUGAUCAUGGAAGUCGAAAUCCGCUAAGGAGUGUGUAACAACUCACCUGCCGAAGCAACUAGCCCUUAAAAUGGAUGGCGCUUAAGUUGUAUACCUAUACAUUACCGCUAAAGUAGAUGAUUUAUAUUACUUGUGAUAUAAAUUUUGAAACUUUAGUGAGUAGGAAGGUACAAUGGUUAUGCGUAGAAGUGUUUGGCGUAAGCCUGCAUGGAGCUGCCAUUGGUACAGAUCUUGGUGGUAGUAGCAAAUAAUCGAAUGAGACCUUGGAGGACUGAAGUGGAGAAGGGUUUCGUGUGAACAGUGGUUGAUCACGAGUUAGUCGGUCCUAAGUUCAAGGCGAAAGCCGAAAAUUUUCAAGUAAAACAAAAAUGCCUAACUAUAUAAACAAAGCGAAUUAUAAUACACUUGAAUAAUUUUGAACGAAAGGGAAUACGGUUCCAAUUCCGUAACCUGUUGAGUAUCCGUUUGUUAUUAAAUAUGGGCCUCGUGCUCAUCCUGGCAACAGGAACGACCAUAAAGAAGCCGUCGAGAGAUAUCGGAAGAGUUUCUUUUCUGUUUUAUAGCCGUACUACCAUGGAAGUCUUUCGCAGAGAGAUAUGGUAGAUGGGCUAGAAGAGCAUGACAUAUACUGUUGUGUCGAUAUUUUCUCCUCGGACCUUGAAAAUUUAUGGUGG